This 3760-nucleotide small RNA is filed under the name Pongo abelii (Sumatran orangutan). RNAcentral describes it as "processed transcript". Lineage: Eukaryota; Metazoa; Chordata; Mammalia; Primates; Hominidae. The record is from RNAcentral.
CUCUUCACAGCUGAGACAACAGAGAAACUGGACUGAAGGCAAAGCGGCCAGGGAUUGCAAUUUGAGGGGGUAUUGCAAAGGAUUUCUGGGGUGUCAGGCAGCCCAGGGCAGCUCAGCUGUGUGGGUCCCCAUUACCAUUCCCCACCCACCUCCAGGAAAGCAGAGAAGCACUGGGAAGUCUUCCAGAAGGUGACAGAGGUCUUCAUCCUAGUGCCUGCGCUGCUGGGGCUCAAAGGGAACCUGGAAAUGACCCUGGCAUCAAGGCUCUCCACUGCAGCCAACAUUGGACACAUGGACACACCCAAGGAGCUCUGGCGGAUGAUCACUGGGAACAUGGCCCUCAUCCAGGUGCAGGCCACGGUGGUGGGCUUCCUGGCGUCCAUUGCAGCCGUCGUCUUUGGCUGGAUCCCUGAUGGCCACUUCAGUAUUCCGCACGCCUUCCUGCUCUGUGCUAGCAGCGUGGCCACAGCCUUCAUUGCCUCCCUGGUACUGGGUAUGAUCAUGAUUGGAGUCAUCAUUGGCUCUCGCAAGAUUGGGAUCAACCCAGACAACGUGGCCACACCCAUUGCUGCCAGCCUGGGCGACCUCAUCACCUUGGCGCUGCUCUCAGGCAUCAGCUGGGGACUCUACCUGGAACUGAAUCACUGGCGAUACAUCUAUCCACUGGUGUGUGCUUUCUUUGUGGCCCUGCUGCCUGUCUGGGUGGUGCUGGCCCGACGAAGUCCAGCCACAAGGGAGGUGUUGUACUCGGGCUGGGAGCCUGUUAUCAUUGCCAUGGCCAUCAGCAGUGUGGGAGGCCUCAUCUUGGACAAGACUGUCUCAGACCCCAACUUUGCGGGAAUGGCUGUCUUCACGCCUGUGAUUAAUGGUGUUGGGGGCAAUCUGGUGGCAGUGCAGGCCAGCCGCAUCUCCACCUUCCUGCACAUGAAUGGAAUGCCCGGAGAGAACUCUGAGCAAGCUCCUCGCCGCUGUCCCAGUCCUUGCACCACCUUCUUCAGCCCUGAUGUGAAUUCUCGCUCAGCCCGGGUCCUCUUCCUCCUCGUGGUCCCAGGACACCUGGUGUUCCUCUACACCAUCAGCUGUAUGCAGGGCGGGCACACCACCCUCACACUCAUCUUCAUCAUCUUCUAUAUGACAGCUGCACUGCUCCAGGUGCUGAUUCUCCUGUACAUCGCAGACUGGAUGGUGCACUGGAUGUGGGGCCGGGGCCUGGACCCGGACAACUUCUCCAUCCCAUACUUGACUGCUCUGGGGGACCUGCUUGGCACUGGGCUCCUAGCACUCAGCUUCCAUGUCCUCUGGCUCAUAGGGGACCGAGACACGGAUGUUGGGGACUAGCUUGGUCACUCAACCUUUUCCCCAUCCCUCUGCACUUUCUAUUUGAAAUUUUUCUUUUGUUCCCCUGUCCCUACUCCACCCCACACUCCCACCUCUUUCUAGGACUUCACUUUGAUACCAAAUUCUCAUUAUUUUCAAUGGGAAUUUUUAUACAUUGAGCCAAGUUUGUAUAGCAAGAAUUCGGGAAACACAGAUGGCCUGAGAUAAGCAGUACAAGUAGGUUUUUGAGACAAUCACCAAGUGCAGUUUCAUGAUGGGUGCCUCCAGGUGAUGUGGACUGGGGCAGGGGAGUUUUGUCUGGAAUCUGGGGAUAUGGGGUUUGGCUUUAGCAACCUGUCUUGGCCCUAAUGAGAAACCCUUUGUAAGUGGGCUCUGGAUUUUUGGUUUUGUUUUCUUUUUAUCUGUUUUGUUUUAUUUUUGGUUUUGGUUGAACAGAGGGACAGAAGAAUAAGUAACACUCCCAAACACAGACAUACUUUUGUAGAAGUGGACCAACUUCAAAGCUCUGGACAGGAGACAGCUGCUCCAGGCCCCUAUGAUCCCCGCUCUGUUCUCUUGCCCUCUGGACCUAAGUGUUCCCACUCGCAGAAAGAGUAAGGUGGACUGACUUUUCAAUUUGUGCACAUGCCUCUUGUUCAAUGGCCUGAUCAACAUCAACAACCCCUCCCUCUGAUCAUUUCCAGUUGAUUGUAAUAUCCAGGAAAAAAUGGAACAGUGCACUCUUCUCCCUGUUGACCCAUGUCCACCUAUAGGUUCCCCAAAAUCCACAUUCUCCUUGGGCCCAGAGGACUGAUUCUUUGUCUCUCUUCAACCUUCAUCUCAAAUUGUCUCUAAGCACUACCUUCCCCAGAGCUUGCCAGGUUGGGUUUUGAGAUUAGGGACAGGUCAUGGGUAUGUGGAGAAUGGUUUGGAGGUUGAGGACAACCACGGGUGUCUCAUUGCUGCCAUUUCUUCUGAGGACAUAAUCACUUGGUCACCUUGGACCCUGUCACUUCCUAAAAUUACUCAUUCUGUCAUGCCAUAGAGGUCAGUUUUCCUCUUUCUUGGCUUCUGCCCACAGACAUUCACCAAUCAUUUAUUCACUUAUUCAGCAAAUAUGCAGCCUCCGCAAGAUGAGCUCUCCUGCAGACAAGCAUGGUCUGAAACAUUCUUUGAGCAAUAUUUAUUGAAUGCCUACUAUGUGUUAGGUACUGUGCCAGGCACUGAUAAGCCAGUGGUAAGGGAAACACAGCUCUAACCUCACCUCAUUCUCCAGGUUACAAAGGCCAUGUGCCCCUUUCAAUCUGGCAGAGAAAGUUUCCUCGUUGUAAGUAUUUGCAUCUACUUCAAGCCAGAUUCUUCUGCCUCUUUCUCCUUUCCAAACCCCUACUCUGUGCAGUGCUGACCACAGCUAGAGCCACCAUCCCCAUUGCUCAACCAGUAUUUAUUUCCCUAAACGACCCUUCCUCACAUUCCCUUCCUUUCACCUCUCCUCACCAAGCACCCAAAAGAGGGUUUAGAACUAGCAGGGUGGACAUCAUCUGGUUGCUUCUACUUUUCUCUGCCUAGCACAAAAUUGGGAGAAAACUGGAGCCUCCAUCCGCAGUCACACGUGUACAGAUCUGGGGAUUUGGAUGUAGGCUUUUUCUAACUUCUCUCAGAAGCUUCCACAGAAACCCUUCCAUCUGUAGCCUCAAGGGCCCACCUCCAAGGGAAAGCUUAGGCAAUGAUCCUGUUUCUACCAACACCACACCUUAUCCCAGGAACCUGCCCUAGACCUCCAGAGACCAUAGUUUCUCUCCCUCCAUUUCUACCCAGACCUCUAGGCCUCCUUCUGGAAUCAUAGAACCGUAGAAUUGGAAGGAAUUUUAGAGGUUUUCCAGUUGGAGUUGUGUCCAACAGAAUUCAUUAACACCAGCCUGGGCUUGUUUUUCCUCCUCCCCCUGGACUUUUUUCAUCUUUUCCUCCACCUCAAAAGACACUGACACACAGAUUCUUCUUGUACAGGCACCAAAACCAACUCUGCCCCUAAGGCUGUGUCCCUAUGGUCUCCAGCCACCCCUACCCCAGUCACUCGCCCCUUCCUCAUCUCUGGAAUUUGGCCAGGCAGUCCCAGAAGACUCUGGAGCGACCUCCUUUGCCUAAAAAGCAGACAGAUAGGCAUGCCCCAGGCCCUGAGUGUGUGAGCAGAGGAGGACUGUAGGGUGAGAGGGAAAGAAAACAAAGGUGACUUUCAUGGAAGAUUCAUUUCUUUUCCCCAAUUGUACCAACUGCAUGUACUUUUGGCCUGGCUGUAAGGAGCAAUAUUGGUUUACUCUCGUAUCCUUAAAAAGUUACAGAACUGUGUCUUAAGAGAAUUAUUUAUAGUUACUAUAACUGAAUUGACAAAUGUCAACUUAACUGAUAAAUUAUAUUUGGUAAAAUAAAGAGGACGUUUAUUUAG